Molecule: transfer RNA, 71 nt
Filed under: Stegodyphus mimosarum
Lineage: Eukaryota; Metazoa; Arthropoda; Arachnida; Araneae; Eresidae
Rfam family: tRNA
About the family: Transfer RNA (tRNA) molecules are approximately 80 nucleotides in length. Their secondary structure includes four short double-helical elements and three loops (D, anti-codon, and T loops).
Source: Rfam by way of RNAcentral
GCUUUCGUGGUGUAACGGUAGCACACUCGGCGCGUAUUCGAGAAGUCCAGGUUCGAGUCCUGACUAGGGCA